GACGAGCGCUGGCGGCGUGCUUAACACAUGCAAGUCGAACGGAAAGGCCCUGCUUGCAGGGUGCUCGAGUGGCGAACGGGUGAGUAACACGUGGGUGAUCUGCCCCUUACUUUGGGAUAAGCCUGGGAAACUGGGUCUAAUACUGGAUAGGACCAUGCUGUAGGUGGUGUGGUGGAAAGAUUAGUUUCGGUAAGGGAUGAGCUCGCGGCCUAUCAGCUUGUUGGUGGGGUAAUGGCCUACCAAGGCGUCGACGGGUAGCCGGCCUGAGAGGGUGGACGGCCACAUUGGGACUGAGAUACGGCCCAGACUCCUACGGGAGGCAGCAGUGGGGAAUAUUGCACAAUGGGCGCAAGCCUGAUGCAGCGACGCCGCGUGGGGGAUGACGGCCUUCGGGUUGUAAACUCCUUUCAGCCAUGACGAAGCCCUUGUGGUGACGGUAGUGGUAGAAGAAGCACCGGCUAACUACGUG
RNAcentral lists this ribosomal RNA (469 nucleotides) under uncultured bacterium. RNAcentral describes it as "partial 16S ribosomal RNA". It matches the Rfam family "Bacterial small subunit ribosomal RNA", at positions 28 to 507 of the family's 1533-position model. The record is from RNAcentral.